GUCUUCAUUUUUUGUCACUUGUUCUUUUGUCGGAACUCAGAAUUCAGAAUCCUCGUCCCCUCAAAUUCUCCACAUAGUAUUCCAGGGUUUAAGACUUCACCUUUCCCAUCCCCCAAUUUCUAAUUCCCUCCCCCACGCCCCCGCCCAGAAAAAAAGGAGAAAAAAAAAACACACACACACACACACAGAGGGGAGGAACACAGGGACAUGUCUGAAAUAAUGAAAACAUAUCCUACCAAUGAGUAUUUGCAUGAAAGGAAGCUCUUUUUCGGCCCAACAUUAGAGACUAGAAUGAUUUUUUCGGUUCCAAAUGAAAUAAUUCAAUCAAAGAUGAAUAGAAUAAGAUUAAUUGGCGGCGGAGGAAAUAAGGUGAAGGGCAAGGCGGCUUUAUUAGCUAAUUAUAGUGAUGAAGGGUCUGUUCAAGGUGCCCUUGACAAUUCCCCGAUUUCGAUAGAGCUAGAGCCAAUUUUGAGCGAAUCCCAGUUCGAUCGGGUCAUUGCUGAAGCUCAACAGCUUGAAGAACCAAUUUUAAUUGUAUGGAUGGCAAGGUGGUGCAGAAAAUGCAUAUAUUUAAAACCGAAGUUGGAAAAGUUAGCUGCUGAGUAUAAUCCGAGAGUACGCUUUUUCCAUGUUGAUGUUAAUAAUGUUUCACACAAGCUCGUGGUUCGAGCAGGAGUUACUUUAAAGUUCAGACAAACGAUUCGAAUGAAAUCUAACUGGACUUAAUCUGCCUUUCAUGUAUCUGAAAUGCGGCUUCCAAACAAGAGCAGAAAAUGCCUACCAUACAGCAGCUAUGGAAGGAUGGCCAGAAAGAAGGCGAGGUGAUUGGAGGGCACAAAGCACAUUUGGUGGUUAAUGAGAUACGUGAAAUGAUUGAAAAUGAAUACACCUUGUAAUUCAAUCCAGUCCCUGAGGGUAUGCAUUUAAACUUCAUUCAACAUUAGCCAAUCGCACAGGAAAAAGCUGCAUUCAGGUGUUUUGCUUGCCCAAUUAUAGGGAGAUCAUUGGCUUACUUUUUCCAAUGCGUCAUAGGAAGAUAAUUAAUAUACUUGUCCCCUUGUUUUUCCUAUUUGUCUUCUCCCCUCGCAAAACCUCCCUCUUUUGGGGGUAGAAGGAGGGGAGGGGGCAGGGGAGUUUGCCACUUUUCGUUCUGGUUCUGUAGCUGGCUACAUACUUACCCAUCUUAAGAAUAAUAUAGUGCCACCUUUCAGGGAAAAAAAAAAAGGAAAUAAAUAGUGCCACUCCUGUACUUACCAAGAUUAGCUGAGGAUGCACUGCAUAUAUCGGUGGCCAGGAUGUCCCAUCUUCACUGGUUUAUUCUUUCCUUUUUGAGUAUUCUCAUUUUACCUUGUUUUAUGGAACCUUCCGCUGUCUGUUAGAUUACUCACAAAAGAUUUGCUGAUAAAGAUGGAUCCAUGUGUUUAAUUCCACUCAUUACUUUCUCUAGUUGAUUUUACACACAGAAAUUUUCUAUGAUGAAUUAUUAUAACAUCAUUUAUAGUUGGAUUGCUGUAA
Non-coding RNA from Coffea arabica (coffee), 1515 nucleotides. The record is from RefSeq and is a predicted model, not a curated record. NCBI's taxonomy places the organism in Eukaryota, Viridiplantae, Streptophyta, Magnoliopsida, Gentianales, Rubiaceae.